GGGGAAGAUGGUGCAAUUCCAUCACGGUGCCGCCACUGUAAGCGGGGAGUGACUCUGCCACAUGCCACUGUGCGUUUCACCGCACGGGAAGGCGCAGGGAAACGAUGAUCCGCAAGUCAGGAGACCC
RNAcentral lists this non-coding RNA (127 nucleotides) under Candidatus Nitrospira nitrosa. RNAcentral also lists the same sequence under 1 other name. The record is from RNAcentral. Lineage: Bacteria; Pseudomonadati; Nitrospirota; Nitrospiria; Nitrospirales; Nitrospiraceae.